GGGGUUACCUUGUUUUGACUUCACCCCAGAAUAUGAAUCCCCUACCAUUGGUAAUCGCCUCCUUACGGUUAGGCUAACUACUUCUGGUAAAGCCCACUCCCAUGGUAUGUGGGCGGUGUCAUAUAAGACCCGGGAACGUAUUCACCGCGACAUGCUGAUCACGAUUACUAGCGAUUUCGAGCUUCAGUCGAGUUGCAGACUGCGAUCCGGACCCCUACAGUCAGGUUCUGGGAUUGGCUCCCCCUCGCGGGUUGGCGACCACUAUCGACCAUUACUGAAGUGUGAAGCCCUACCCUUAAGAGGCCAUGACAUAAUACCUUCCUCGUUUGUCACCGGCAGUCUCACCUAAAGGUACCCUUUCGUAGCAUAAUAUAGCAGGGUUGCUCGUUUGCGGACUUAACCAACAUCUCACGACACGAGCUGACGACAGCCGUACAACUUUUUGUUCCGGUUCUCUUACGGGCACUCCCCAAAUCUCUUCGGGAUUCCAGACAUCAAGGAGUAGUGGAGGUUUUUCGCGUUGCGCUCCGGUCGUCCACAGCAUCCUCUUCCACCGCUUGUGCAGGUCCCGUCCAUUCCUUUGAGUUUAAUCUUUUUGACAACCUCCCCAGGCGUUCAACUACCUGAUCGCUGCUACCAGGCCCGAGAGCCCCAACAGCUUUAAGAUUGACAUGUUUAGGGCGUGAGACUACCAGGGUAUCUGUCUGUUGCUCCCCGCGCUUUCGUGCAUGGGCGUCAGUGUUAUCCGGAGCUGCGCUUGUAAUCGUCACCUGCACUGUCUACGCGUUUCGCCGCUACGCGUUGCCUCCUCGGCACUCGCUCCGGUAGUUAAAAAUGCAGUUCCAAAGUUAAGCUGCUGGGAUUCCCUGCUGCCUUUCUUUCCAGGUGCCUGCUUGCUUUACGCCCACGUGAUUCGUUAACAACUUGCACCCUACGUAUUACCAUGGCUGCUGUGGCAUGAUUAUGGUGCCGACUGCACAGGCUGCAAUCGGUGCACCAGGGUGAAGUAUCGUGCCGUUUCUUUCCUGCCAAAAGUGCUUUACAACCGAGGCCUUCAUCGCACACGCGGGGAUGGCCUGGAUCGGAAGUUUCCCCGGCUAUCCAUUCCCACCGCCUCCGGCGGGUCUGGGCGUGUCUCAGUCCCAGUGUGGCUGGUCGUCCCUCUCGAGCAGUUGGAUCGUCGUCUUUUUGGUGAGCCGUUACCCCAUAACUAGCUAAUCCGAUAUCGGCCGCUCAUGAUUACUGCGAGGCCCGAGGUCCCCCCGCUUUCCCGAAGAAUAAUACGGUAAUGGCUACGCUUUCGCGUAGUUAUCCCCGCUACUAGGCACGUUCCGAUACAUUACUACCCGUUCGCCACUCGCCUGGGCCGGAGAGUCCGUGCCUUGCCGUUCGACUUGCAUGUGUAAAAGCAUCCGCCAGCGUUGACCGAGCCGGAUCAAACC
Molecule: ribosomal RNA, 1442 nt
Filed under: uncultured Bordetella sp.
Lineage: Bacteria; Pseudomonadati; Pseudomonadota; Betaproteobacteria; Burkholderiales; Alcaligenaceae
Description: partial 16S-23S ribosomal RNA intergenic spacer
Source: RNAcentral